CCUACGGGAGGCUGCAGUGGGGAAUAUUGCACAAUGGGGGAAACCCUGAUGCAGCGACGCCGCGUGAGUGAAGAAGUAAUUCGUUAUGUAAAGCUCUAUCAGCAGGGAAGAAAAUGACGGUACCUGAGUAAGAAGCCCCGGCUAACUACGUGCCAGCAGCCGCGGGAAUACGGAGGGGGCAAGCGUUAUCCGGAUUUACUGGGUGUAAAGGGAGCGUAGACGGCAGUGCAAGUCUGAAGUGAAAGCCCAGGGCCCAACCCUGGGACUGCUUUGGAAACUGUGGAGCUAGAGUGCUGGAGAGGUAAGUGGAAUUCCUGGUGUAGCGGUGAAAUGCGUAGAUAUUAGGAGGAACACCAGUGGCGAAGGCGGCUUACUGGACAGUAACUGACGUUGAGGCGCGAAAGCGUGGGGAGCAAACAGGAUUAGAUACCCUUGUAGUC
This 440-nucleotide ribosomal RNA is filed under the name uncultured bacterium. RNAcentral describes it as "partial 16S ribosomal RNA". It matches the Rfam family "Bacterial small subunit ribosomal RNA", at positions 338 to 795 of the family's 1533-position model. The record is from RNAcentral.